CCGCACACCACCUGAUAUCAAUGUCUGAUGUUUCACCUUGGAUAGGCCCAGGUCACCAACCUUGAGGCACAAGUAGCAAGGUAUUCCAUUCCAAAAGCCGCAUCCAUAGCAAUUAAGAGGCGCUUACGCUUGUCAAGACUCCUGCAUCAAUGGUAUUUUAUGAUUCUGAAAUAUAAUAAAUGGGUGCAGAUGUACAACUAAGUUCAAAUAAGUUAAACAUAUAAACGGAGAAAACAAAUGUUACUUCUCGUUCUUCAGCAAA
Molecule: non-coding RNA, 262 nt
Organism: Momordica charantia (bitter melon)
Lineage: Eukaryota; Viridiplantae; Streptophyta; Magnoliopsida; Cucurbitales; Cucurbitaceae
Source: RefSeq, a predicted model, not a curated record